This 253-nucleotide ribosomal RNA is filed under the name uncultured bacterium. RNAcentral's name for it is "partial 16S ribosomal RNA". It matches the Rfam family "Bacterial small subunit ribosomal RNA", at positions 524 to 776 of the family's 1533-position model. The record is from RNAcentral.
UACGUAGGGUGCGAGCGUUAAUCGGAAUUACUGGGCGUAAAGCGUGCGCAGGCGGCUCUUCAAGUCAGAUGUGAAAGCCCCGGGCUUAACCUGGGAAUGGCGUUUGAAACUGGAGGGCUGGAGUGCGGCAGAGGGAGGUGGAAUUCCACGUGUAGCAGUGAAAUGCGUAGAGAUGUGGAGGAACACCGAUGGCGAAGGCAGCCUCCUGGGCCAGCACUGACGCUCAUGCACGAAAGCGUCGGGAGCAAACAGG